GACGAACGCUGGCGGCGUGCUUAACACAUGCAAGUCGAACGGAAAGGCCCUGCUUGCAGGGUACUCGAGUGGCGAACGGGUGAGUAACACGUGGGUGAUCUGCCCUGCACUUCGGGAUAAGCCUGGGAAACUGGGUCUAAUACCGGAUAGGAGCCAUUUUUAGUGUGAUGGUUGGAAAGUUUUUUCGGUGUAGGAUGAGCUCGCGGCCUAUCAGCUUGUUGGUGGGGUAAUGGCCUACCAAGGCGGCGACGGGUAGCCGGCCUGAGAGGGUGGACGGCCACAUUGGGACUGGGAUACGGCCCAGACUCCUACGGGAGGCAGAAGUGGGGAAGAUUGCAAAAUGGGCGCAAGCCGGAUGCAGCGACGCCGCGUGGGGGAGGACGGCCUUCGGGUUGUAAACUCCUUUCGCUAGGGACGAAGCUUUUUGUGACGGUACCUAGAUAAGAAGCACCGGCUAACUACGUG
This 465-nucleotide ribosomal RNA is filed under the name uncultured bacterium. RNAcentral describes it as "partial 16S ribosomal RNA". It matches the Rfam family "Bacterial small subunit ribosomal RNA", at positions 28 to 507 of the family's 1533-position model. The record is from RNAcentral.